Molecule: ribosomal RNA, 472 nt
Filed under: uncultured bacterium
Lineage: Bacteria
Description: partial 16S ribosomal RNA
Rfam family: Bacterial small subunit ribosomal RNA
Source: RNAcentral
GAUGAACGCUGGCGGCGUGCCUAAUACAUGCAAGUCGAGCGAACAGACGAGGAGCUUGCUCCUCUGACGUUAGCGGCGGACGGGUGAGUAACACGUGGAUAACCUACCUAUAAGACUGGGAUAACUUCGGGAAACCGGAGCUAAUACCGGAUAAUAUAUUGAACCGCAUGGUUCAAUAGUGAAAGACGGUAUUUCUGUCGCUUAUAGAUGGAUCCGCGCCUGAUUAGCUAGUUGGUGAGGUAACGGCUCACCAAGGCGACGAUGCGUAGCCGACCUGAGAGGAUGACCAGCGACACGGAGACUGAGACACGGCCCAGAGUCGUACGGGAGGCAGCAGUGGGGAAUCUAGCGCAAUGGGCGAAAGGCUGACGCAGCCAUGCCGCGUGAAUUAUGAAGGGCUUAGGAUUGGAAAAUUCUUUCACCGGGGACGAUAAUGACGGUACCCGGAGAAGAAGCCCCGGCUAACUUCGUG